GACGAACGCUGGCGGCGUGCUUAACACAUGCAAGUCGAACGGAAAGGCCUCUUUCGGGGGGUACUCGAGUGGCGAACGGGUGAGUAACACGUGAGUAACCUGCCCUUGACUUUGGGAUAACUUCAGGAAACUGGGGCUAAUACCGGAUAGGAGCUCCUGCUGCAUGGUGGGGGUUGGAAAGUUUCGGCGGUUGGGGGUGGACUCGCGGCUUAUCAGCUUGUUGGUGGGGUAGUGGCUUACCAAGGCUUUGACGGGUAGCCGGCCUGAGAGGGUGACCGGCCACAUUGGGACUGAGAUACGGCCCAGACUCCUACGGGAGGCAGCAGUGGGGAAUAUUGCACAAUGGGUGGAAGCCUGAUGCAGCAACGCCGUGUGCGGGAUGACGGCCUUCGGGUUGUAAACCGCUUUCGCUCAUGACGAAGCUUUGUGUGACGGUAGUGGGUAAAGAAGCACCGGCUAACUACGUG
This 467-nucleotide ribosomal RNA is filed under the name uncultured bacterium. RNAcentral describes it as "partial 16S ribosomal RNA". It matches the Rfam family "Bacterial small subunit ribosomal RNA", at positions 28 to 507 of the family's 1533-position model. The record is from RNAcentral.